Molecule: ribosomal RNA, 253 nt
Filed under: uncultured bacterium
Lineage: Bacteria
Description: partial 16S ribosomal RNA
Rfam family: Bacterial small subunit ribosomal RNA
Source: RNAcentral
GACGUAGGGUGCGAGCGUUGUCCGGAUUUAUUGGGCGUAAAGAGCUCGUAGGCGGCUCGUCGCGUCGACCGUGAAAACCCGCGGCUUAACUGCGGGCUUGCGGUUGAUACGGGCGGGCUAGAGUUCGGUAGGGGAGACUGGAAUUCCUGGUGUAGCGGUGAAAUGCGCAGAUAUCAGGAGGAACACCGGUGGCGAAGGCGGGUCUCUGGGCCGAUAUCGACGCUGAGGAGCGAAAGCGUGGGGAGCGAACAGG